RNAcentral lists this ribosomal RNA (468 nucleotides) under uncultured bacterium. Its description in RNAcentral is "partial 16S ribosomal RNA". It matches the Rfam family "Bacterial small subunit ribosomal RNA", at positions 28 to 507 of the family's 1533-position model. The record is from RNAcentral.
GACGAACGCUGGCGGCGUGCUUAACACAUGCAAGUCGAACGGAAAGGCCCUGCUUUUGUGGGGUGCUCGAGUGGCGAACGGGUGAGUAACACGUGAGUAACCUGCCCUUGACUUUGGGAUAACUUCAGGAAACUGGGGCUAAUACCGGAUAGGAGCUCCUGCUGCAUGGUGGGGGUUGGAAAGUUUCGGCGGUUGGGGAUGGGCUCGCGGCUUAUCAGCUUGUUGGUGGGGUAGUGGCUUGCCAAGGCUUUGACGGGUAGCCGGCCUGAGAGGGUGACCGGCCACAUUGGGACUGAGAUACCGCCCAGACUCCUACGGGAGGCAGCAGUGGGGAAUAUUGCACAAUGGGCGGAAGCCUGAUGCAGCAACGCCGCGUGCGGGAUGACGGCCUUCGGGUUGUAAACCGCUUUCGCCUGUGACGAAGCGUGAGUGACGGUAAUGGGUAAAGAAGCACCGGCUAACUACGUG